Molecule: ribosomal RNA, 2825 nt
Filed under: Escherichia coli
Lineage: Bacteria; Pseudomonadati; Pseudomonadota; Gammaproteobacteria; Enterobacterales; Enterobacteriaceae
Description: partial 23S ribosomal RNA
Rfam family: Bacterial large subunit ribosomal RNA
Source: RNAcentral
GGUGAGGUGAUAUGAACCGUUAUAACCGGCGAUUUCCGAAUGGUGAAACCCAGUGUGAUUCGUCACGCUAUCAUUAACUGAAUCCAUAGGUUAAUGAGGCGAACCGGGGGAACUGAAACAUCUAAGUACCCCGAGGAAAAGAAAUCAACCGAGAUUCCCCCAGUAGCGGCGAGCGAACGGGGAGGAGCCCAGAGCCUGAAUCAGUGUGUGUGUUAGUGGAAGCGUCUGGAAAGGCGCGCGAUACAGGGUGACAGCCCCGUACACAAAAAUGCACAUAUUGUGAGCUCGAUGAGUAGGGCGGGACACGUGGUAUCCUGUCUGAAUAUGGGGGGACCAUCCUCCAAGGCUAAAUACUCCUGACUGACCGAUAGUGAACCAGUACCGUGAGGGAAAGGCGAAAAGAACCCCGGCGAGGGGAGUGAAAAAGAACCUGAAACCGUGUACGUACAAGCAGUGGGAGCCUCUUAAUGGGGUGACUGCGUACCUUUUGUAUAAUGGGUCAGCGACUUAUAUUCUGUAGCAAGGUUAACCGAAUAGGGGAGCCGAAGGGAAACCGAGUCUUAACUGGGCGUUAAGUUGCAGGGUAUAGACCCGAAACCCGGUGAUCUAGCCAUGGGCAGGUUGAAGGUUGGGUAACACUAACUGGAGGACCGAACCGACUAAUGUUGAAAAAUUAGCGGAUGACUUGUGGCUGGGGGUGAAAGGCCAAUCAAACCGGGAGAUAGCUGGUUCUCCCCGAAAGCUAUUUAGGUAGCGCCUCGUGAAUUCAUCUCCGGGGGUAGAGCACUGUUUCGGCAAGGGGGUCAUCCCGACUUACCAACCCGAUGCAAACUGCGAAUACCGGAGAAUGUUAUCACGGGAGACACACGGCGGGUGCUAACGUCCGUCGUGAAGAGGGAAACAACCCAGACCGCCAGCUAAGGUCCCAAAGUCAUGGUUAAGUGGGAAACGAUGUGGGAAGGCCCAGACAGCCAGGAUGUUGGCUUAGAAGCAGCCAUCAUUUAAAGAAAGCGUAAUAGCUCACUGGUCGAGUCGGCCUGCGCGGAAGAUGUAACGGGGCUAAACCAUGCACCGAAGCUGCGGCAGCGACACUAUGUGUUGUUGGGUAGGGGAGCGUUCUGUAAGCCUGUGAAGGUGGCCUGUGAGGGUUGCUGGAGGUAUCAGAAGUGCGAAUGCUGACAUAAGUAACGAUAAAGCGGGUGAAAAGCCCGCUCGCCGGAAGACCAAGGGUUCCUGUCCAACGUUAAUCGGGGCAGGGUGAGUCGACCCCUAAGGCGAGGCCGAAAGGCGUAGUCGAUGGGAAACAGGUUAAUAUUCCUGUACUUGGUGUUACUGCGAAGGGGGGACGGAGAAGGCUAUGUUGGCCGGGCGACGGUUGUCCCGGUUUAAGCGUGUAGGCUGGUUUUCCAGGCAAAUCCGGAAAAUCAAGGCUGAGGCGUGAUGACGAGGCACUACGGUGCUGAAGCGACAAAUGCCCUGCUUCCAGGAAAAGCCUCUAAGCAUCAGGUAACAUCAAAUCGUACCCCAAACCGACACAGGUGGUCAGGUAGAGAAUACCAAGGCGCUUGAGAGAACUCGGGUGAAGGAACUAGGCAAAAUGGUGCCGUAACUUCGGGAGAAGGCACGCUGAUAUGUAGGUGAAGCGACUUGCUCGUGGAGCUGAAAUCAGUCGAAGAUACCAGCUGGCUGCAACUGUUUAUUAAAAACACAGCACUGUGCAAACACGAAAGUGGACGUAUACGGUGUGACGCCUGCCCGGUGCCGGAAGGUUAAUUGAUGGGGUUAGCGGUAACGCGAAGCUCUUGAUCGAAGCCCCGGUAAACGGCGGCCGUAACUAUAACGGUCCUAAGGUAGCGAAAUUCCUUGUCGGGUAAGUUCCGACCUGCACGAAUGGCGUAAUGAUGGCCAGGCUGUCUCCACCCGAGACUCAGUGAAAUUGAACUCGCUGUGAAGAUGCAGUGUACCCGCGGCAAGACGGAAAGACCCCGUGAACCUUUACUAUAGCUUGACACUGAACAUUGAGCCUUGAUGUGUAGGAUAGGUGGGAGGCUUUGAAGUGUGGACGCCAGUCUGCAUGGAGCCGACCUUGAAAUACCACCCUUUAAUGUUUGAUGUUCUAACGUGGGCCCCUUACCGGGGUUGCGGACAGUGUCUGGUGGGUAGUUUGACUGGGGCGGUCUCCUCCUAAAGAGUAACGGAGGAGCACGAAGGUUGGCUAAUCCUGGUCGGACAUCAGGAGGUUAGUGCAAUGGCAUAAGCCAGCUUGACUGCGAGCGUGACGGCGCGAGCAGGUGCGAAAGCAGGUCAUAGUGAUCCGGUGGUUCUGAAUGGAAGGGCCAUCGCUCAACGGAUAAAAGGUACUCCGGGGAUAACAGGCUGAUACCGCCCAAGAGUUCAUAUCGACGGCGGUGUUUGGCACCUCGAUGUCGGCUCAUCACAUCCUGGGGCUGAAGUAGGUCCCAAGGGUAUGGCUGUUCGCCAUUUAAAGUGGUACGCGAGCUGGGUUUAGAACGUCGUGAGACAGUUCGGUCCCUAUCUGCCGUGGGCGCUGGAGAACUGAGGGGGGCUGCUCCUAGUACGAGAGGACCGGAGUGGACGCAUCACUGGUGUUCGGGUUGUCAUGCCAAUGGCACUGCCCGGUAGCUAAAUGCGGAAGAGAUAAGUGCUGAAAGCAUCUAAGCACGAAACUUGCCCCGAGAUGAGUUCUCCCUGACUCCUUGAGAGUCCUGAAGGAACGUUGAAGACGACGACGUUGAUAGGCCGGGUGUGUAAGCGCAGCGAUGCGUUGAGCUAACCGGUACUAAUGAACCGUGAGGCUUAACCUU